UACAGAGGUCCCAAGCGUUGUUCGGAUUCAUUGGGCGUAAAGGGUGCGUAGGUGGCGCCGUAAGUCGGGUGUGAAAUUUCGGAGCUUAACUCCGAAACUGCAUUCGAUACUGCGGUGCUUGAGGACUGGAGAGGAGACUGGAAUUCAUGGUGUAGCAGUGAAAUGCGUAGAGAUCAUGAGGAACACCAGUGGCGAAGGCGGCUACCUGGACCGGUUCUGACGCUGAGGCGCGAAAGCGUGGGGAGCGAACAGG
RNAcentral lists this ribosomal RNA (253 nucleotides) under uncultured prokaryote. Its description in RNAcentral is "partial 16S ribosomal RNA". It matches the Rfam family "Bacterial small subunit ribosomal RNA", at positions 524 to 776 of the family's 1533-position model. The record is from RNAcentral.